This is a non-coding RNA of Oncorhynchus mykiss (rainbow trout), 948 nucleotides long. The record is from RefSeq and is a predicted model, not a curated record. NCBI's taxonomy places the organism in Eukaryota, Metazoa, Chordata, Actinopteri, Salmoniformes, Salmonidae.
AUAAUCAGUCUCUCACAGUCACAGACUAGUCACCACAUCUUCAGAAAGUAGUGGAGAGGCUGGCCACUCACCAUAAAUAAGAGAGUAAAACUUGGACUGAGAGCAGAGCAGACUGUUUAAGGGGAGGAGCAGACCUGGUGAUCAUAAACAGCAGAGAGGAACAGGUGUUUCUAAACAAAAUGGAAAAAGAUGUGCACUUCUGGAUUGGACUGACUCAGAGAUGGAAGGGUUCUGGAAAUGGGUGGAUGGAACAACAUCACCAACAGCGUUCUGGAGAAGAGGAGAGCCAAAUAAUGCUGAUGGGGAGGAGGAUUGUGUGGUUUUCAACAGGUUCAUUAAUCUGUCUUGGGACUGGGAAAUGAUUCAGUCAUGGAACGACCAGCCUUGCUCAGUGAGUACUCAAUGGGUAUGUGAGAGCAGUGUCAUAACAAAUCCAUCCACAACAGGAGAAUAAUAUCUGAAUUCCCUUUUGAGUUAGCAAUUGUAUUAUUAGUCAGCAAUUGUAUUGUUAAAGAUUAUUGUUGAAGUGUAAUUUAAAUCUAUUAUAACAUUAGUUAUGAUUUGUAAUGAUUGUUCUUAUGAUUAGUAAUGAUUGUUCUUAUGAUUAGUAAUGAUUGUUCUUAUGAUUAGUAAUGAUCGUAGCUAUGAUUUGUAAUGAUUUACUUCAUAUAAUUGCUUUUUAAGAACCAUAGUAUUAUGAAUGUGAAACUCCAACCUGAAAGCUAAUGUAGUGAAUUGACAUGCAGGGUCAAAUCUAAUCUAAUCAUCUAACAGUGAACUGUGAACAAGGCAAGUGCCAUGCUUCAAUGUGUUCAAUUUGUGGAUAACAUUAAAGACAUAUUCUGAACGCUAACAGAACAGAAAUGUUUGAAUUGUAUUGUACAUUACAGGCAUAAUUCCUCUGUCUAUGUGAUACAUAUUAUAAAUUAUUUUAAACCAAAGUGAAAA